RNAcentral lists this transfer RNA (82 nucleotides) under Pseudoruegeria aquimaris. It matches the Rfam family "tRNA". Rfam says of the family: Transfer RNA (tRNA) molecules are approximately 80 nucleotides in length. Lineage: Bacteria; Pseudomonadati; Pseudomonadota; Alphaproteobacteria; Rhodobacterales; Roseobacteraceae. The record is from Rfam by way of RNAcentral.
GCGGGUGUGGCGGAAUUGGUAGACGCACCAGAUUUAGGUUCUGGCGCCGCGAGGCGUGGGGGUUCAAGUCCCUCCACCCGCA